RNAcentral lists this ribosomal RNA (586 nucleotides) under Enterobacter sp. CC43. RNAcentral describes it as "bacterial SSU rRNA". It matches the Rfam family "Bacterial small subunit ribosomal RNA", at positions 28 to 603 of the family's 1533-position model. Lineage: Bacteria; Pseudomonadati; Pseudomonadota; Gammaproteobacteria; Enterobacterales; Enterobacteriaceae. The record is from RNAcentral.
AACGAACGCUGUGGGCAGGCCUAACACAUACAAGUCGAGCGGUAACAGGAAGCAGCUUGCUGCUUCGCUGACGAGUGGCGGACGGGUGAGUAAUGUCUGGGAAACUGCCUGAUGGAGGGGGAUAACUACUGGAAACGGUAGCUAAUACCGCAUAACGUCGCAAGACCAAAGAGGGGGACCUUCGGGCCUCUUGCCAUCAGAUGUGCCCAGAUGGGAUUAGCUAGUAGGUGGGGUAACGGCUCACCUAGGCGACGAUCCCUAGCUGGUCUGAGAGGAUGACCAGCCACACUGGAACUGAGACACGGUCCACACUCCUACGGGAGGCAGCAGUGGGGAAUAUUGCACAAUGGGCGCAAGCCUGAUGCAGCCAUGCCGCGUGUAUGAAGAAGGCCUUCGGGUUGUAAAGUACUUUCAGCGGGGAGGAAGGCGAUGCGGUUAAUAACCGCGUCGAUUGACGUUACCCGCAGAAGAAGCACCGGCUAACUCCGUGCCAGCAGCCGCGGUAAUACGGAGGGUGCAAGCGUUAAUCGGAAUUACUGGGCGUAAAACGCACGCAGGGCGGCUGUCAAGUCGGAUGUGAAAUCCC